Molecule: long non-coding RNA, 273 nt
Organism: Mastomys coucha (southern multimammate mouse)
Lineage: Eukaryota; Metazoa; Chordata; Mammalia; Rodentia; Muridae
Exons: 3
Source: RefSeq, a predicted model, not a curated record
CACAGACCAAACCCCAACAGGUGGCAACUGGCUGGUAGGCCCCUGGGCAUGUACAUCCUCCAUCUGUGCUGUGAGGCGAGGUGGCAUAAGACAGUUUUGACCACCAAGCCAGCCAUCGGCUGGAUGAAGAAAGGACUGCCAUUUGCUCUGCCCCUGACUGAUAGAAGACCACCACCACCGCCUAUAAGGUGUCUUUUUUGCCCAUUGUCAAGGAGGUUGCUGGUACUACUUAAACUAUCAAUGUAUAAAUAAAAGACCGGAGCAAGAAAAAGG